UUGACNUCAANUCAGGUAGGACUACCCCCUGAACUUAAGCAUAUC
RNAcentral lists this ribosomal RNA (45 nucleotides) under Psilocybe thaizapoteca. Its description in RNAcentral is "partial 28S ribosomal RNA". Lineage: Eukaryota; Fungi; Basidiomycota; Agaricomycetes; Agaricales; Agrocybaceae. The record is from RNAcentral.